This 68-nucleotide transfer RNA is filed under the name Rhizobium ruizarguesonis. RNAcentral describes it as "tRNA-Ser". Lineage: Bacteria; Pseudomonadati; Pseudomonadota; Alphaproteobacteria; Hyphomicrobiales; Rhizobiaceae. The record is from RNAcentral.
GCUGAUAAGCGGGUUCUCCAACCUUGCCAAGGUUGGGGUCGAGGGUUCGAAUCCCUUCGCCCGCUCCA